AGUUGGGAAUCGAUAAGCUGUGUGUGUAGGCAGGGAUGUCUUUUCAAGACACUAGUUCUCCGGGAGGAAGCUGAGGGUAGACUUCAGGCAUCUACACCAAGUAUCAGGCAUUCUUGGUGCCGUUUUACACCCCGAACUGAACGUCCUUCGCUGUCCUCUUCUGUGGCUAUGACCUUGGGAAGAUGAUGAGUUUGAGGAAAUUGGGCCGUGACAGAUUUUUGGCUGCUAGAACCCGUGACAUGUACAUUUACCUUUUACAGUUUCUCUACGAUAAUUGGAGUUGGCGUUGGAGCUGGAGCAUACAUUCUGUCACGAUACGCUCUGAACCACCCGGACACCGUUGAAGGUCUUGUUCUCAUCAACAUUGAUCCCAACGCCAAGGGCUGGAUGGAUUGGGCAGCCCACAAGUUAACC
This 414-nucleotide long non-coding RNA is filed under the name Rattus norvegicus (Norway rat). Its description in RNAcentral is "long non-coding RNA NONRATT010833". The record is from RNAcentral. Lineage: Eukaryota; Metazoa; Chordata; Mammalia; Rodentia; Muridae.